GUGAGACAGUUUGGUCCCUAUCUGCCGUGGGCGCAGGAGAUUUGAGAGGAUCUGUCCUUAGUACGAGAGGACCGGGAUGGACGAACCUCUGGUGUUCCAGUUGUUCCGCCAGGAGCAAUGGCUGGGUAGCUAUGUUCGGAAAGGAUAACCGCUGAAAGCAUCUAAGCGGGAAGCCCCCCUCAAGACAAGAUCUCCCUGGAACUUCGGUUCCCUGAAGGUCCGUCGAAGACGACGACGUUGAUAGGCCGGGUGUGUAAGUGCAGUAAUGCAUUCAGCUAACCGGUACUAAUUGACCGUGAGGCUUGACCAU
Molecule: ribosomal RNA, 310 nt
Filed under: Desulfuromonadaceae bacterium
Lineage: Bacteria; Pseudomonadati; Thermodesulfobacteriota; Desulfuromonadia; Desulfuromonadales; Desulfuromonadaceae
Description: partial 23S ribosomal RNA
Rfam family: Bacterial large subunit ribosomal RNA
Source: RNAcentral